AUUGAACGCUGGCGGAAUGCUUUACACAUGCAAGUCGAACGGCAGCACGGGGGCAACCCUGGUGGCGAGUGGCGAACGGGUGAGUAAUAUAUCGGAACGUGCCCAGUCGUGGGGGAUAACGUAGCGAAAGCUACGCUAAUACCGCAUACGAUCUACGGAUGAAAGCGGGGGAUUGCAAGACCUAGCGCGAUUGGAGCGGCCGAUAUCAGAUUAGGUAGUUGGUGGGGUAAAGGCUCACCAAGCCAACGAUCUGUAGCUGGUCUGAGAGGACGACCAGCCACACUGGGACUGAGACACGGCCCAGACUCCUACGGGAGGCAGCAGUGGGGAAUUUUGGACAAUGGGCGCAAGCCUGAUCCAGCCAUUCCGCGUGCAGGACGAAGGCCUUCGGGUUGUAAACUGCUUUUGUACGGAACGAAAAAGCCAUGGCUAAUACCCAGGGUCCAUGACGGUACCGUAAGAAUAAGCACCGGCUAACUACGUGCCAGCAGCCGCAGUAA
RNAcentral lists this ribosomal RNA (500 nucleotides) under uncultured bacterium. RNAcentral describes it as "partial 16S ribosomal RNA". It matches the Rfam family "Bacterial small subunit ribosomal RNA", at positions 30 to 523 of the family's 1533-position model. The record is from RNAcentral.